AACGAACGCUGGCGGCAUGCCUAACACAUGCAAGUCGAACGAGACCUUCGGGUCUAGUGGCGCACGGGUGCGUAACGCGUGGGAAUCUGCCCUUGGGUUCGGAAUAACUCGCCGAAAGGCGUGCUAAUACCGGAUGAUGUCGUAAGACCAAAGAUUUAUCGCCCAGGGAUGAGCCCGCGUAAGAUUAGGUAGUUGGUGAGGUAAAGGCUCACCAAGGCGACGAUCCGUAGCUGGUCUGAGAGGAUGAUCAGCCACACUGGAACUGAGACACGGUCCAG
Molecule: ribosomal RNA, 278 nt
Filed under: uncultured bacterium
Lineage: Bacteria
Description: partial 16S ribosomal RNA
Rfam family: Bacterial small subunit ribosomal RNA
Source: RNAcentral